ACCAAGGCGACGAUCUAUAGGGGUUCUUGAUAGGAAGGUCCCCCACACUGGCACUGAGAUACGGGCCAGACUCCUACUGGAGGCAGCAGUAAGGAAUAUUGGUCAAUGGGCGAGAGCCUGAACCAGCCAUGCCGCGUGCAGGAAGACGGCCUUCUGGGUAGUAGACUGCUUCUAUACGGGAAGAAAAAGGUCUUGCGAGGCCAAUUGCCGGUACCGGAUGAAUAAGCACCGGUUAACUCCGUGCCAGCAGUCGCGGUAAUACAGAGGGUGCAAGCGUGGUCCGGAUUUAUUGGGUAGAAAGGGUGUGUAUGCGGGAGUUCAGGUCAGUGGUGAAUGUCUUGAGCUUAAUUGAAGAAGUGCCAUUGAAAGUGGAUGACUAGAGUAUAGUCGAGGUAGGCGGAAUUUAUGGUGUAGCGGUGAAAUGCAUAGAUACCAUAUAGAACACCGAUCGCGAAGGCAGCUUACUAGGCUAUAACUGACGCUGAGGCACGAACGCAUGGGUAUCGAACAGGAUUAGAUACCCUGGUAGUCCAUGCUGUAAAUGAUGCUCACUAGCUGUCGGCGAUAUAAGUUCACGCGGAUAUAGGCGAAACGCGAUAAGUGCCCCACCUGGGAGAGUACGUUC
This 625-nucleotide ribosomal RNA is filed under the name uncultured organism. Its description in RNAcentral is "bacterial SSU rRNA". It matches the Rfam family "Bacterial small subunit ribosomal RNA", at positions 267 to 887 of the family's 1533-position model. The record is from RNAcentral.